Molecule: ribosomal RNA, 460 nt
Filed under: uncultured bacterium
Lineage: Bacteria
Description: partial 16S ribosomal RNA
Rfam family: Bacterial small subunit ribosomal RNA
Source: RNAcentral
CCUACGGGAGGCAGCAGUGAGGAAUAUUGCUCAAUGGACGGAAGUCUGAUCCAGCCAAGUAGCGUGAAGGAUGACUGCCCUACGGGUUGUAAACCUCUUUUAUAAAGGAAUAAAGUGAGGCACGUGUGCCUUUUUGUAUGUACUUUAUGAAUAAGGAUCGGCUAACUCCGUGCCAGCAGCCGCGGUAAUACGGAGGAUCCGAGCGUUAUCCGGAUUUAUUGGGUUUAAAGGGAGCGUAGAUGGGUUGUUAAGUCAGUGGUGAAAGUUUGCGGCUCAACCGUAAAAUUGCAAUUGAUACUGGCAGUCUAGAGUACAGUUGAGGUAGGCGGAAUGCGUGGUGUAGCGGUGAAAUGCGUAGAUAUCACGAAGAACACCGAUUGCGAAGGCAGCUUACUAGACUUUCACUGACACUGAGGCUCGAAAGUGUGGGUAGCAAACAGGAUUAGAUACCCCAGUAGUC